AUUGAACGCUGGCGGCAGGCCUAACACAUGCAAGUCGAACGCGUGGCGGACGGGUGAGUAAUGUCUGGGACAUUGUCUGAUGGAGGGGGAUAACUACUGGAAACGGUACCUUAUACCGCACCCCAUCGGUUGUGCCCAGUUGGGAUUAGCUUGUUGGUGGGGUAACGGCUCACCAAGGCGACGAUCCCUAGCUGGUCUGCGAGGAUGACCCGACAAACUGGAGCUGAGACACGGUCCAGACUCCGACGAGUGGCAGCAGUGGGGAAUAUUGCACAAUGGGCGAAAGCCAGAUGCAGCCGUGCCGCGUGUAUGAAGAAGGCCUUCGGGUUGUAAAGUACUUUCAGCGGGGAGGCGUUACCCGCAGAAGAAGCACCGGCUAACUCCGUGCCAGCAGCCGCGGUAAGUC
RNAcentral lists this ribosomal RNA (406 nucleotides) under uncultured bacterium. Its description in RNAcentral is "partial 16S ribosomal RNA". It matches the Rfam family "Bacterial small subunit ribosomal RNA", at positions 30 to 526 of the family's 1533-position model. The record is from RNAcentral.